GGAGACUUACCUCUUGUGUCCAAAUUUUGAGUAAAAAUUUUUAAGACUUUAAAAGAAGGAAGACUUGACUUAAAUUUUGGUGUGUCAGGAACCACUUGAAAGAUGUGUUUUUUAUCAAUAAUUGUUUUUACUACAGGUGGAAGAGUAAAUUUAUCUGAACCGGAUAAAGUGCCUAGAUUCUGAGCCAGAGAAUGAACCAAAUCUUGUGCAAACUUUCCAAAGAUAGUAAAAUUACACGAACCAGCUUUAUCUUCAACAAUAGUGUUUAAUCUGUACCUAUUUUCAGCAAAUACGUUAAACAAUAUUAAUUUCAUGUGGAACAAAACUACCCAAUAUUUUUAAAGAAAAUUAAAAUAUUAUUAAGAAAGAUAAGUACCAUGGUAUGGGAGUUUGAUCAUUUGUACCAUAAUUGGAGCACCAAAAAGUAUCGUCAUAUGUUUUGAUUGUUGUUUUGCAAUUAUAGCAAGUUUUGUACUACCAGCCAAAUGAUGUAUCAAUUUCAGCAAUUUUAGCUUUACAGGUAAACUUCAUGUUCUCUCUCUCUCAAAAAAAAGAGGACCAAUUUAUAAUACUGCUAACCGAAGCUUUGCACUCUCACAGAAAUGAAGAGUGAAGGCAACAGUGGGAAGAUUUGGGUAAUUAGUAGUGUGCAAAGUAAGAUAGCUAGAAAAAUCCAAGAGAAUUUCAGUGUAAUCUAUUAAAACCAAGUCGAAGAGAAAUAAGUGAAAAUCUUUUGAAACUCUAAAGAGAUCUUUACAGAGUAAGACAGGCAGAAAAAUUCAAGAGAAUUUCAAUUUAAUCUGAAAAACAAAAUGGAAGAAAAAUGAUUAAAAAUAUUUUGAAAUAGGUGGGAAUCUGUUAAAAUUUUUUGAAACUCUAAGAGAUCUGUUAAAACCAAGCCAAAGAGUUUGAAA
RNAcentral lists this long non-coding RNA (914 nucleotides) under Ananas comosus (pineapple). RNAcentral's name for it is "long non-coding RNA (ACOM_LNC033230)". Lineage: Eukaryota; Viridiplantae; Streptophyta; Magnoliopsida; Poales; Bromeliaceae. The record is from RNAcentral.